Molecule: ribosomal RNA, 844 nt
Filed under: Caulobacteraceae bacterium
Lineage: Bacteria; Pseudomonadati; Pseudomonadota; Alphaproteobacteria; Caulobacterales; Caulobacteraceae
Description: bacterial SSU rRNA
Rfam family: Bacterial small subunit ribosomal RNA
Source: RNAcentral
CCCGUUCAGAGGUUUUUUUGAAUUGCUCAGAGCGAACGCUGGCGGCAGGCCUAACACAUGCAAGUCGAACGAACUCUUCGGAGUUAGUGGCGGACGGGUGAGUAACACGUGGGAACGUGCCUUUAGGUUCGGAAUAACUCAGGGAAACUUGUGCUAAUACCGAAUGUGCCCUUCGGGGGAAAGAUUUAUCGCCUUUAGAGCGGCCCGCGUCUGAUUAGCUAGUUGGUGAGGUAAAGGCUCACCAAGGCGACGAUCAGUAGCUGGUCUGAGAGGAUGAUCAGCCACAUUGGGACUGAGACACGGCCCAAACUCCUACGGGAGGCAGCAGUGGGGAAUCUUGCGCAAUGGGCGAAAGCCUGACGCAGCCAUGCCGCGUGAAUGAUGAAGGUCUUAGGAUUGUAAAAUUCUUUCACCGGGGACGAUAAUGACGGUACCCGGAGAAGAAGCCCCGGCUAACUUCGUGCCAGCAGCCGCGGUAAUACGAAGGGGGCUAGCGUUGCUCGGAAUUACUGGGCGUAAAGGGAGCGUAGGCGGACAUUUAAGUCAGGGGUGAAAUCCCGGGGCUCAACCUCGGAAUUGCCUUUGAUACUGGGUGUCUUGAGUAUGAGAGAGGUGUGUGGAACUCCGAGUGUAGAGGUGAAAUUCGUAGAUAUUCGGAAGAACACCAGUGGCGAAGGCGACACACUGGCUCAUUACUGACGCUGAGGCUCGAAAGCGUGGGGAGCAAACAGGAUUAGAUACCCUGGUAGUCCACGCCGUAAACGAUGAUUGCUAGUUGUCGGGAUGCAUGCAUUUCGGUGACGCAGCUAACGCAUUAAGCAAUCCGCCUGGGAGACUUUCCUGC